Solanum lycopersicum (tomato) is the source of this 1462-nucleotide RNA transcript. It is a transcript of the gene named E3 ubiquitin-protein ligase RING1-like, with no coding region annotated. The record is from RefSeq and is a predicted model, not a curated record. Lineage: Eukaryota; Viridiplantae; Streptophyta; Magnoliopsida; Solanales; Solanaceae.
CAACAAACCAAAAGAGGGCAACGACCGGUAUGGCCCACUGUCUUCUUCUUCUUCCUCCUUCCCGUACCGUUUCUUCCUCUUGCGAUAAAAAACACACACAUCGCUUUUCUCUUUACACAUCACAAUAAUAUUCCAUACCUUUUCCCACUUACACCAAAUGUCCACCACCAUCGCAACUCCGCCGCAGCGUCACCACACUUUUUGGUGCCACGAAUGCGACAUGAGCGUCUUCCUCCUUCACCCACCCCCGAAUAAUCCUCGCUGCCCUCACUGCCAUUCCGAUUUCCUCGAACAUAUGGACUCUUUUACCCCUACCAUUCUUCCCCAAUUUCCGAAUCACCCUAACCCUACCUCUGACAUUGAAACCCCCACCACUUUUACUCCCUCUGACGACAACUUCCUCCUCAAUAGUCCUUAUCUCCACCGUCUAAUUCGCCAUCUCACCACCACUAAUGACGCUCCUACCCCCAAUCUUCACAACAAUUCCGCGUCCAGAUCAGCUGUGGCGGCACUUGAACUACUUCAAAUUACCUCUUCCAUGCUUGAGAAUGAUCCGGUUAUUCUUUGUGCGGUCUGCAAAGACCAGUUUUUACUCGACAUGCAAGUUAAAAUGUUGCCUUGCAAACACAUGUAUCAUUCUGAUUGUAUUUUACCAUGGUUAGAAAUGAAUAAUUCAUGUCCAGUUUGUAGGUUCCAGUUACCUACGGAGGAAGACGAGGUUUGCCGUAGACGUCAGGAUUUUGUUGCAGCAAUGAGAUUGGAAGAGUUUCUGGGUGAGCAAGAGGAUUUGUUUGGGUUUAGGCGCACACUUAGACGUGUUGCCAGGAGGCAUCAGCUUGACAGGGAGGAUACCACUAGGGGUGACAGUUUGGAGUUUCUGCUCUCCCCUACUCAGAUUGGCCAGACCGGUCAAGGAGAUGGAGUUGUUGCGAGAGCUAAUAGUGUGGAGACCGUAUCAAGUUGGCCGAAUUGGCCACUCGAAAGUGGUAGUGAAGAUGAAGUAGGUGGAAGUGGUAACACAUUUGGUAAUUAAUGAGAUCCGGUUGUCAGGUCUUUAAGCAGUGUUAAGAUGAAGUACUUGCAUUUUCUGCUUCUUAAUAUGGGCAUCUUUUGGCCCAUUUGGCGCACAUAGGUACUGUAUAGUUGUUGUUACUACUAAUUAGGAACAUCCAAGAGAAUAAUUUUGCCAUAGAUCUGCUGGAGAAUUGUAAAUCAUGAUGCAUAAUCACGCUUCUGCCAAUAAUCAAACAAGCAAGUGUUAAAAUCCUGUAAUUUUUGUUAUGGCAAUUUCAUGUGUUGCUUGUCGUAAUAGUAGUCUAUUGUGAUUGAUACCCGUACAAGCAAUAAUAACAUUCUCUAAUUUUGGUUGAAGCUGGAUAUUGUCUAUUUGUGUACUUUCUGCUCAUUUAUGCUGACUUGCUUUUGUACACAAAAAGAUAAUGCAUUGCUCUCUUCGGGUGUA